GGCGGCGAUGGGGAUGGGGUUCCCCCGAUAACCGCCCAUAUGGCUGAUGACUCCUAGCAAAGC
This 63-nucleotide non-coding RNA is filed under the name Hyphomicrobium denitrificans. RNAcentral's name for it is "Fluoride sequence". It matches the Rfam family "Fluoride riboswitch aptamer (crcB RNA motif)". Lineage: Bacteria; Pseudomonadati; Pseudomonadota; Alphaproteobacteria; Hyphomicrobiales; Hyphomicrobiaceae. The record is from RNAcentral.